GGUCAAGAGCAGCGGCCCCAAACCCUUGGAGUGGUCGCUCGGCAACCGGUCCCGCGCCGGUGCCUUCCAAGGAAGACCUGACCGGGCAGCAGCCGCUGUCAGGUAAUGGCGGGCC
This 115-nucleotide non-coding RNA is filed under the name Intrasporangium chromatireducens Q5-1. RNAcentral's name for it is "Intrasporangium sp. Q5-1 SAM (S-adenosyl methionine) riboswitch aptamer". It matches the Rfam family "SAM (S-adenosyl methionine) riboswitch aptamer". Rfam says of the family: SAM-IV is a mRNA element that regulates gene expression via direct sensing of S-adenosylmethionine (SAM or AdoMet). SAM-IV riboswitches share conserved nucleotide positions with the previously described SAM-I riboswitches sequence analysis and molecular recognition experiments suggest that SAM-I and SAM-IV riboswitches share similar ligand binding sites, but have different scaffolds. RNAcentral also lists the same sequence under 1 other name. Lineage: Bacteria; Bacillati; Actinomycetota; Actinomycetes; Micrococcales; Intrasporangiaceae. The record is from Rfam by way of RNAcentral.